RNAcentral lists this ribosomal RNA (460 nucleotides) under uncultured bacterium. RNAcentral describes it as "partial 16S ribosomal RNA". It matches the Rfam family "Bacterial small subunit ribosomal RNA", at positions 338 to 795 of the family's 1533-position model. The record is from RNAcentral.
CCUACGGGAGGCUGCAGUGAGGAAUAUUGGUCAAUGGACGAGAGUCUGAACCAGCCAAGUAGCGUGAAGGAUGACUGCCCUAUGGGUUGUAAACUUCUUUUAUAAGGGAAUAAAACGAGGCACGUGUGCCUUUUUGCAUGUACUUUAUGAAUAAGGAUCGGCUAACUCCGUGCCAGCAGCCGCGGUAAUACGGAGGAUCCGAGCGUUAUCCGGAUUUAUUUGGUUUAAAGGGAGCGUAGAUGGGUUGUUAAGUCAGUUGUGAAAGUUUGCGGCUCAACCGUAAAAUUGCAAUUGAUACUGGCAGUCUUGAGUACAGUUGAGGUAGGCGGAAUUCGUGGUGUAGAGGUGAAAUGCUUAGAUAUCACGAAGAACUCCGAUUGCGAAGGCAGCUUACUAAACUGCAACUGACAUUGAUGCUCGAAAGUGUGGGUAUCAAACAGGAUUAGAUACCCCAGUAGUC